CGAACAGUAAACUUUAACAGACUAUACGUUUCCUGUUUUAUUCACAGAUAAACAAAGUAACGCAAAAAACUUUCCACAACAGUUUUUCAGAUUUUUGGCGGUGCCUUUCGUUUCCAUGUAUUAGGGUCUAUGGUUUUUUAGUCUGAAAUGGACAGGACUACUAUAAAAGGAAUUCAACAAGUUUUAUGUCUGAAUUAGAGAUUCAAGGAACGGACACCACUGGUCAGCUUCACCAGUGUUUCUCAAUGCAAUGUCAACAGAUGGAAGUGGAUUCUCACUGUUAAAGUAUUAGCAUGGGUUACAUCACUGCAUACUAUUUGAUUUGAUUGGGUUGCUCACUGGAAGUGGGAAAAACCUUCUGUCCGUUUGUGUUAAUUUGUAAAAGUAUUAAGGUGAAUAUUUAUUUUUAAUAAUGUAUUUUUAAUGACACAAAACCUGUUGGAAAUUUUUAUUUUAGUGCUUGUAAUCAGAGCCUUUCAUAAUAGAAUAUACCAGUUGUAGUACUCAGUAAUAAACCAAUUGUAGUACUCAGUAAUAAAUCUUUAAAGGUGAUGUUAUCCUAA
Molecule: non-coding RNA, 563 nt
Organism: Ciona intestinalis (vase tunicate)
Lineage: Eukaryota; Metazoa; Chordata; Ascidiacea; Phlebobranchia; Cionidae
Source: RefSeq, a predicted model, not a curated record